This 245-nucleotide ribosomal RNA is filed under the name uncultured archaeon. RNAcentral describes it as "partial 16S ribosomal RNA". It matches the Rfam family "Archaeal small subunit ribosomal RNA", at positions 474 to 720 of the family's 1478-position model. The record is from RNAcentral.
CCCCGGCGCCACGAGUGGCAAUCUUAUAUUGGGCCUAAAGCAUUCGUAGCAGGUUUGAAAAAUCCCUUGUGAAAUUGUUGAACUCAAUACAACAGCGUGCAGGGGACACUUUCAGACUAGAGACUGGGAGGAGUUGGGGGUAUGCCUGGGGGAGCGGUUAAAUGCGAUAAUCCUAGGUAGACCACCUGUGGCGAAGGCGCCCAACUAGAACAGUUCUGACUGUGAGGGAUGAAAGCUAGGGUAGC